GCUCCCCCCCGCAGGUGGUGUAGUCCAGGUGAUUCAAUCUUUUACCGGGAUGGUAUAUAAAGGUAAGUGGUGUGAGGUGUUCGUCGUUGUUGUUGCUCUUCUGUUCCGUUGCCGCCCACAGCGACACUGUGUAAUGGCCCACGUGGGCACUUUGAGAGAACUAACGUUAAGCUGAGCCUCCCCGUUCCUCCUUAACCACAGGCCACCAUGACAGUGCGUUAACUAACGUCAAGCACACACGGAGCACCACAUUAGCAUCCAUUUCGGAGCCGUGUUUCUGCCCACGUCACCAACUGAGCCGCAGGCCUUGAGCUGCCAGCGGAGGAACGUGAAGUCAAGCCAGGGAGCCAAGGCCACCGUCGGCCCCUCAGUGUUUAGAAUAACCCCCGUAAAAAAUUUUUUUUUAAAAAAACCUCCUGGGAACCGGAUUGGAAUCGCACCACAGCUGGCAAAGGAGAAUAUGUGAGAGCAUGCCGUCAUCGGCGGCCACCGCAGGUAUACGGGAUCCAUGGCAGCGAGGACCAGCAGGACUCCGGGAGGGAAUUUGCGAGGACGAGGCUUUAAUGAGAGAAGAGGCCUCGUCCGGCGGGCGAGUAAUGUAUG
Scophthalmus maximus (turbot) is the source of this 603-nucleotide long non-coding RNA. RefSeq lists it as uncharacterized. Lineage: Eukaryota; Metazoa; Chordata; Actinopteri; Pleuronectiformes; Scophthalmidae. The transcript is spliced from 3 exons. The record is from RefSeq and is a predicted model, not a curated record.